GUAGGUGGCAAGCGUUAUCCGGAUUUACUGGGUGUAAAGGGCGUGUAGGCGGGAUCGCAAGUCAGAUGUGAAAACUGGAGGCUCAACCUCCAGCCUGCAUUUGAAACUGUGGUUCUUGAGUACUGGAGAGGCAGACGGAAUUCCUAGUGUAGCGGUGAAAUGCGUAGAUAUUAGGAGGAACACCAGUGGCGAAGGCGGUCUGCUGGACAGCAACUGACGCUGAGGCGCGAAAGCGUGGGGAGCAAACAGGAUUAGAUACCCUGGUAGUCCACGCUGUAAACGAUGGAUACUAGGUGUGGGGGGUCUGACCCCCUCCGUGCCGCAGCCAACGCAUUAAGUAUCCCGCCUGGGGAGU
RNAcentral lists this ribosomal RNA (355 nucleotides) under uncultured bacterium. RNAcentral describes it as "bacterial SSU rRNA". It matches the Rfam family "Bacterial small subunit ribosomal RNA", at positions 527 to 881 of the family's 1533-position model. The record is from RNAcentral.